GCAGUUUUAUGGUGAAGAUAAUGACACUGUCAUGUCAUUACGAGUUACUAGGGUGAUGAUCAUACGUAAUUAAUUACCCGAUGCGCACCAUGGGGACCAAAUAAAGGAUAAUUUCCAGAUAAAAAGUAUGCUGCUUGGACAUGAUGCCUAGGCAUUGCGACUCAAAGUCAGUAUCUGACCAAUUAAGGGUUUUGAGGACUGUUGAAUUUCGGGAGCUUCUGCAGGAUGAGGAAUAAAUUAGGCAGAUCAUCAGAUUCAGCCAAAAGGCUCUCUCACAGAAAUUCACAGAUGGGAGAAUAUCCCUGGAGAAUUUUGUGGAGUCCUGUCAAAGAUCUUGUAAGGUCUACCAUGUCCGUCUGGUUCAUCAAGCCGGAACAGAAACCCCAAAGGCCCACUGAGAAUCACAAUACUCUGCUCCAGUCCACUGCCGGAUGGGUCCAUAUCAACCGCCCCUGAGUGACCACAUCAACAUUGCUAAACCUGAGGCCUACAGCCUUGCCUUUUGACACUGGCCAGCCUGUAGGCCUUAGAGUGUAUGGAAAGGGUCAUGCUCCCAGUUGGCCAGCCAGACCUGUACGUCUGCAGCGACUCAACAACAUAUAGCCUAGACAUCAUCAGCAGGACCCACUGCCACAUUGACACUGUUGGAUAGAAAGGGCAACUGUUACUCUUUGGACUAUAAUGAAUUUAUGUACUUUAUGAUUGUCUGUAAAAUAGCACCACAUAGUUGAAACAAGUUGAUUAAGAAGGGUGAAUAAAGACAACACCUUGUGGGUUUUGUUUUAUAUCCAGGCUCCCCUAAAACAUGUCAUUGUAACAUCAUACUGUAGGCAUCAAUGCUUUCUUGGGGUAGGAAACCCCUGAACUCACUGUGCCUCAGUGCAGUAGGUCACAAGGUGUACUUAAACUCUUCACCUAGCUACACUUGAUAGCUCAGAUCAUCCUCUCUCCACAGAGACUCCUGCUAAGGUCAGCCAAGGACCACGUCUGGAACUGUCAAACUGCAAGCUUUUUCAAGCCUCUAAAUCACACUUUCUCUAUAAUUUUUAUUACAUCCAAAACCAAUGUUGAUUCAUUGUUCCUAAAAUUCAUACUGAAAGCAUAGUUGCCUGAUUCCAUUGAAUGACUAACACUCUGCCUACCGUACUCAGUGGUUGUCGUUUGUUCCCCCAGUUAUGUGGAUCACCAGACCAAGGAUUCGCCUGAUCAGCCAUAAGGUUAGCCAGACUGCCAUCUAGCCUAAUCAAGCUCACUGCACUAGUUAGCUGUCAGAGAGAGGCCAGUGAGUUUACAGGAGCUCAUUAGUGAUGCAGUGUCACGUCCUGACCCUAGUAAGAUGUCAUUUUCUAUAGUAGAGUAGGUCAGGGUGUGUUUUGUGUUGUUCUAUGUUUUCUAUUUCUAUGUUUAAGUUCUAGUUUUUCUAUAUCUAUG
Non-coding RNA from Salmo salar (Atlantic salmon), 1431 nucleotides. The record is from RefSeq and is a predicted model, not a curated record. Lineage: Eukaryota; Metazoa; Chordata; Actinopteri; Salmoniformes; Salmonidae.